AAGUCGUAACAAGGUCUCCGUUGGUGAACCAGCGGAGGGAUCAUUACUGAGUUACCGCUCUACAACCCUUUGUGAACAUACCUUAACUGUUGCUUCGGCGGGCAGGAGGACAACCCCCCUCGGGGGGCGGUCCCCCUCCCGGCCGCGCCCUCACGGGCGUGGCGCCCGCCGGAGGAUACCAAAACUCUAUUUUAACGACGUUUCUUCUGAGUGGCACAAGCAAAUAAUUAAAACUUUUAACAACGGAUCUCUUGGUUCUG
RNAcentral lists this unclassified non-coding RNA (260 nucleotides) under Colletotrichum sp. RNAcentral describes it as "partial internal transcribed spacer region". The stretch from base 1 to 46 matches the Rfam family "Eukaryotic small subunit ribosomal RNA", at positions 1786 to 1831 of the family's 1831-position model. The record is from RNAcentral. Lineage: Eukaryota; Fungi; Ascomycota; Sordariomycetes; Glomerellales; Glomerellaceae.